AUGCAACAAAUGCCAUCCACAGUAAAUGGACAUACUCAUGUUGUGGCCAGGCAUGCAAACGGUCUGUUGGAUUGGUAUCAUCACUCACCGCGCAGCUUGGGAGAGCGGCUGCAGCCACGACGAGGGCCCUGCCAGACUGCGCUGCACCAGCACAUCACAAAUACAACGCCUGCCCUGAGCUCCUCACAGUCCAGCUGUAGGCAAAGGAGAGAAGGAAGGAAGUAGCUCCGCACUGUUUUUCUCCAGGACAGACCUCAGAAACAGUGAAAUGAUCACACAGAAAGGAUGUGACAGAGUACGAAUGUGAAUGCAUAUCUUCCCAGGUGAAAUCCAGGCCUUGCGGCACUAGAGUUAUUCCCUCCUUCUCUUUGCCAUGAGCAAAUAAAGAACAUUUUUGAGCAAUGCUGGCA
RNAcentral lists this long non-coding RNA (410 nucleotides) under Anser cygnoides (Swan goose). RNAcentral describes it as "lncRNA (ENSACDG00005004508.1)". Lineage: Eukaryota; Metazoa; Chordata; Aves; Anseriformes; Anatidae. The record is from RNAcentral.